AGCAGCGUAGAGCAGUUGGAAGCUCGCCAGGCUCAUAACCUGGAGGUCGCAGGUUCGAGUCCUGUCGCUGCAACCA
Molecule: transfer RNA, 76 nt
Filed under: Herbaspirillum frisingense
Lineage: Bacteria; Pseudomonadati; Pseudomonadota; Betaproteobacteria; Burkholderiales; Oxalobacteraceae
Description: tRNA-Met
Rfam family: tRNA
About the family: Transfer RNA (tRNA) molecules are approximately 80 nucleotides in length. Their secondary structure includes four short double-helical elements and three loops (D, anti-codon, and T loops).
Source: RNAcentral